RNAcentral lists this long non-coding RNA (456 nucleotides) under Pan troglodytes (chimpanzee). RNAcentral's name for it is "long non-coding RNA NONPTRT016916". Lineage: Eukaryota; Metazoa; Chordata; Mammalia; Primates; Hominidae. The record is from RNAcentral.
GCCAAACAAAGCCUCACCUGGCUAUCCCGCCACCCUGGGGUUGGGCCUCCAAAGGCCCAGGAGGUCACCUAAGACACGGUGUUCUGAACAUGCAAGCCCGACAGCAUCUUGUCUACCAUCCUGCCAGCGUCCAGAGACCUGGGAAUAGGUGGAGACACCACUGCACCUACCUGAGAGGACUGAAGGAGACGAUCCGUGCAACUCACUCAGGAUACUGGAUCUUAAGCCAACGGGUGGACUUACAUUCGUCACCUCUGAUUCUGUCGCCUCCUGCGCGGUGACUUAACAAACACUUCUUACUCUCCAGCUCUGCUUCUUACUCUCCAGCUCUGCUGCCCUGUUCCAGUGCUGACACCAGACAACAGAUAAUUUCCCAAAUGCUUGUAUUAGCUCUUAGGAGUUCAUGUGUUCCUCCCCCAACCAAUAAAGCUGUUAAAUCCCAAUAACUGUCAGGAA